This 253-nucleotide ribosomal RNA is filed under the name uncultured bacterium. Its description in RNAcentral is "partial 16S ribosomal RNA". It matches the Rfam family "Bacterial small subunit ribosomal RNA", at positions 524 to 776 of the family's 1533-position model. The record is from RNAcentral.
UACGGGGGGGGCAAGCGUUGUCCGGAAUCACUGGGCGUAAAGGGCGCGUAGGUGGCCCGACAAGUCACUGGUGAAAGCUCGACGCUCAACGUCGAGUCGGCCAGUGAUACUGUUGGGCUGGAGCACUGUAGAGGCUCAUGGAAUUCCGGGUGUAGCGGUGGAAUGCGUAGAGAUCCGGAAGAACACCGGUGGCGAAGGCGGUGAGCUGGGCAGUAGCUGACACUGAGGCGCGACAGCGUGGGGAGCAAACAGG